CAAAACGACUCUCGGCAACGGAUAUCUCGGCUCUUKCMUCGAUGAAGAACGCAGMKAAAUGCGAUACUUGGUGUGAAUUGCAGAAUCCCGUGAACCAUCGAGUCUUUGAACGCAAGUUGCGCCCAAAGCCAUUAGGUUGAGGGCACGCCUGCCUGGGUGUCACA
Molecule: ribosomal RNA, 164 nt
Filed under: Leptoderris fasciculata
Lineage: Eukaryota; Viridiplantae; Streptophyta; Magnoliopsida; Fabales; Fabaceae
Description: 5.8S ribosomal RNA
Rfam family: 5.8S ribosomal RNA
About the family: 5.8S ribosomal RNA (5.8S rRNA) is a component of the large subunit of the eukaryotic ribosome. It is transcribed by RNA polymerase I as part of the 45S precursor that also contains 18S and 28S rRNA.
Source: RNAcentral